RNAcentral lists this ribosomal RNA (468 nucleotides) under uncultured bacterium. RNAcentral describes it as "partial 16S ribosomal RNA". It matches the Rfam family "Bacterial small subunit ribosomal RNA", at positions 28 to 507 of the family's 1533-position model. The record is from RNAcentral.
GACGAACGCUGGCGGCGUGCUUAACACAUGCAAGUCGAACGGAAAGGCCCUGCUUUUGUGGGGUGCUCGAGUGGCGAACGGGUGAGUAACACGUGAGUAACCUGCCCUUGACUUUGGGAUAACUUCAGGAACCUGGGGCUAAUACCGGAUAGGAGCUCCUGCUGCAUGGUGGGGGUUGGAAAGUUUCGGCGGUUGGGGAUGGACUCGCGGCUUAUCAGCUUGUUGGUGGGGUAGUGGCUUACCAAGGCUUUGACGGGUAGCCGGCCUGAGAGGGUGACCGGCCACAUUGGGACUGAGAUACGGCCCAGACUCCUACGGGAGGCAGCAGUGGGGAAUAUUGCACAAUGGACGGAAGCCUGAUGCAGCAACGCCGCGUGCGGGAUGACGGCCUUCGGGUUGUAAACCGCUUUCGCCUGUGACGAAGCGUGAGUGACGGUAAUGGGUAAAGAAGCACCGGCUAACUACGUG